GUUUGAGUAAUGAUGAACUCUAUUUAGGACUAGAGUUUUCGAUGCUGCUACUUUGUUGGUGGUAGUUGAAGACAUGCCCUUGGCUGUCUGAACUCAAUC
Molecule: non-coding RNA, 99 nt
Organism: Zea mays
Lineage: Eukaryota; Viridiplantae; Streptophyta; Magnoliopsida; Poales; Poaceae
Source: Rfam